UCUUCCACAAUGGACGCAAGUCUGAUGGAGCAACGCCGCGUGAGUUAAGAAGGUUUUCGGAUCGUAAAGCUCUGUUGUUGGUGAAGUAGGAUAGAGGUAGUAACUGGCCUUUAUUCGACGGUAAUCAACCAGAAAGUCACGGCUAACUACGUGCCAGCCGCCGCGGUAAUACGUAGGUGGCAAGCGUUGCCCGGAUUUAUUGGGCGUAAAGCGAGCGCAGGCGGAAGAAUAAGUCUGAUGUGAAAGCCCUCGGCUUAACCGAGGAAUUGCAUCGGAGACUGUUUUUCUUGAGUGCAGAAGAGGAGAGUGGAACUCCAUGUGUAGCGGUGGAAUGCGUAGAUAUAUGGAAGAACACCAGUGGCGAAGGCGGCUCUCUGGUCUGCAACUGACGCUGAGGCUCGAGAGCAUGGGUAGCGAACAG
Molecule: ribosomal RNA, 421 nt
Filed under: uncultured bacterium
Lineage: Bacteria
Description: bacterial SSU rRNA
Rfam family: Bacterial small subunit ribosomal RNA
Source: RNAcentral